AAACUAAGGUUAAAAGUACUUUAUUACAUCGCAUCAUUCAGGAUUUAAAUAGUACUUACAACCUCACAUGACCCCUUGGGCCAGCAUAAACAAAUACUGUUCAACAUCAUAAAACAUUGUUUUCAAAACUGCAGUGGAAAAGGGUAGAACAUAAGGGCCACAACUACUCCAAGGUGAGAGCAUGUUGGAAUGGAAAGCACAUGACCCACAACAUAACGACGAACGUCAGUCAUC
This 234-nucleotide long non-coding RNA is filed under the name Brachypodium distachyon (stiff brome). Its description in RNAcentral is "long non-coding RNA (BDIS_LNC003313)". Lineage: Eukaryota; Viridiplantae; Streptophyta; Magnoliopsida; Poales; Poaceae. The record is from RNAcentral.